RNAcentral lists this long non-coding RNA (3609 nucleotides) under Canis lupus familiaris (dog). RNAcentral's name for it is "lncRNA (ENSCAFG00030012243.1)". Lineage: Eukaryota; Metazoa; Chordata; Mammalia; Carnivora; Canidae. The record is from RNAcentral.
AUGCAAUUGAGGCCCCAACAUCACAUGUGUGGCUGCCCACCCUGCUCAGCCCCAUUAGAGACUUUAGAGCUGAGUUGCUCUGGAAGGGACAAGAAGAACAACGGAAGGGAAAAACACAUCUUACUACCCUCACUCGGCAAGACAUCAGGCAAAUCAUUCCCAGUCACUUGGUGGAGAAGUCAGCAAAAGCUGCCGAAAGCCAGUGCCGAUCCAACUGACCCAUUUUACAGAUGAGCUGAGCCUGAGAGAAUCCUACACGAUGUACCUUAACUUUCAGGGGUUAUUCAACUUACAAAGCACUGUAGUGAGAUUUCUGAAAAGAAAGAAUGUGUCUUGCUUUUAUUUACAGGGGAUCAUGGAGGGGGGACUUAGCAAGAGACCUUGAUCUUGUACUGUCUUGUUAGCUCUUAAUUCUGAAAUAUAUAAUAAACUCAGAACUUUUAGAAUUAGAACUGUAUAAUCAUGGAAAUACACAAGCCUCAUCGGUCUGGUUUGUCUUAUUUAUUUAUUUAUUUAUUUAUUUAUUUAUUUAGAUUUUAAAAAUUUAUUCAUGAAAGACACACAGAGUGAGGCAGAGACAUAGGCAGAGGGGGAGGGAGAGGCAGGCUCCCUGCAGGGAGCCCAAUGUGGGACUCGAUCCCAGGACCCUGGGAUCACAACCUGAGCAGAAGGCAGACGCUCAACCACGGAGCCACCCAGGCAUCCUUAUCUUCCUAUUUAGCGAAUGAGCUAAGGGAACCUGUAGAGAUGUAUUCACGAUUGGUUCAGCUUGGUAUCCGACAUGGAGCUAGACACAGAGGCCCACACCAGAACUCGGAAGCCAUGUGCUGACCAACAGUGCUACAAUGAAUAGUUGUGGGGAAGGGGAGCAUAUCAAAUUGAAACUUUUCUAUGUGAAUGUUUAUUAUAGGAACACAUUAAAUAGGAGACUAAAAUUGGUACAGCAGCACAUUGAUAUUUGUGGAAGAACUCUAAAGUAAAUAUCCCACAAUAUCACCUUCUUUUUUAAAUUUUUUAAAAAAAUAUUUAUUUAUUUGAGAGAGAGGGGGCACAAGCAGGGAGAGUGGCAGAGGGAGAAGAAGACUUCCUUCUGAGCAGGGAGCUCUAUCCGGUGCUUGAUCCCAGGACCCUGAGAUCAUGACCUGAGCUGAAGGCAGACACUUAACUGAUGAGCCACCUGGGCACCUUGACUUGCUAAUGGAGUUGGCUGAGGACUACAGUGAGCAGCAUAAGGGACCCUGGACACUCUCCAGCUCACCUGCUUUGUGUUCCCUGGGGACAGGAUAAGGGCACUGGACAGUAGGGGCAGGCAGGCUGCUCCACCAGGAUGCCAGGCUGGAUCUGUGCCAGCUCAUAGCCAGCCAGACAACACAGUGGGCCUGUUGAGCUUUCACAGGAUCAGAACGCAGAAGGAUCAUUCUAGGUCUCCCUCAUGGACUGGCCAUUGUUACUCACACCACACGCUGCUAAAGGAAGCGUUGUCUCUAAAAUAGGAUUGGUUUAAAAAUAGCAAUCGAACCUCGGGCAUGGAAUGUACUUCUGCUAUACCAGACACCAUCACAUCUGCCUACUUAUUUGAUCCCCACAAUGAUCCAACAAAAUUGACAGGGGUGUCCAGGAGAGAGACUAACUCAUUUCUGGGACAGGUAUCUGGCAGGAGUUCAGCUUGUGCUUGAAGAAAGGAAAAAAGGAUGGCAGGAAGUGAGGGAGGGAGGGAUCAAAGCUGAGGGUUGUGUCUUGAUUUUAUAGAGAAGGAAAGCUCAAGGAGAAAAUGAUCUACCCCAAGUGACAGCACUAAUUGCAGUGGGGAGACUGUGGAGUCCUGGUCUAGUGCUUUUCCUUCCAGUGCCUCUCAGCUCUUUGCUGACAGGUGUACUGGGGGGUGAUCUUUUAAAAGUGAAUUGGCCCACAGGGUUCCAGUCUUCCACUGAUAGCUGUAAAGGGGGUAAAUCUAUCCUUCUGUAAAGUACACGGGAGCCAGCCACUCCCAGGAAAUGUCUGAGAGAGAGCAACAGGGUGGCUGUGCGAUGCCACCAAAGGAAUUCUGGUUAUGUCUACUCUAUAAUACAAGCUCACAAUGUGCCUUGCCAAUCUCUGCCCCUCUCCGGGCCACAGUUUCCUCAGGGAUAUAAAUAGGGUCUUCAUGACCAGCGUAUUAUUUCCUGUCUCCAAUCUCUGCCUUAAAGUCCAUCCUGGGUACCUUCCAGAAGUUUUCCAUCUUGCUGAUGGCUGAGUCUCCCACACUGUGCCCAGGAUCAACCUCAGGAGAACAUUGUGGGGCUGGGGGAGGAGCUUGGGAGAGAAGGCUGCAGGAGUCCUGGGGUGUAUAUUGCCAUCACCCUAAAAGUGUCUUGCUGCCCCCACCUCCCCUGUGGCCUUGUUAGCAUAGAAGAAGAGAUUCUACAGCCAACAAUCAGCAUCAGUGGUCCCUACAAUAAGACUGCUUAGUGUUUUGACUUGUCCUUUUAGGUAGAAAGAUAUGAUUCCUUAUGACCUUAUUCUUUGUUUUUAUUUUAAAACUAUCCUCUCAGAAAUAAUUCCAUAGUACAGAAUUUUUUUCUAGGAUUCAAGAUAUGUGAGGAAAGAGAGGAAGGAGGGGUGAACAGAAGCAGAUGUCUAAAGCAAGAGGAGAAGAUACUUGCUGAUGGUAACUGGGUAAACCCUGAGUGUCUGAUUGAUACAAAUCAAAUGUAUCCAUCCAGCAAACCUCUCCUAGGAAACUCAUUGUUUGCAGGAUUCUGGAUGGACACACAGGAAGUUGACAUGUAUGUGGCAGCCUUCACCCAUAUGGAAUCAGGAAGUCUUUGGGCAAACAAUAACUUGCUUAUGAACAGAGUAGAAUCUAUGAGCCGGCUGAGUAGCUACUAAGGAGCCUGAGCUCCACAAAGAUAAUGGAGGGUGUCUGGUGCCGUCACUGGGCAUCCAGCCUACCAGAUUAGAGAGAUCUCACUGAACAUCCCCAAUUUCAGCUGUCACACAGAAAAGGUCACACUUACGAGCAUGGCUACUCUGGCUGCAGUACAGCCUACUCUAGACUCAUCCUAAUAAAGCCUCAUAAGAAUCAGACUAUAUCUACCAAUAAAUUAACUGCCUGUUGGCACAAAAAUAGAUGGUUGCUAGAUGAAGACAUCAUUAUUUGGAGUCUUAACAAUGCAGCAUUCAUAAUUCCAGCAUAAAGUCAUAAAUUGAUGGACAUGUGAUAAACAGGAAAAUGUGAGCCACAAUCAAGACAAGAAAAGCCAAUAGAAAAUUACCCUGAUAAAAUCCAAGUGUGAUAACUAGAAGGAGACAAGGAAUUUUAAAAAGCCAUUAUAAAUAUAUUAAGGAAUUAAUGGCAAAAAUGCUUAUAAAAAACAGUUAUAAUAUUUCAGGAGAAUAGUGGAAACUGCAAAAAGAGCCAAACUAAAGUGUAAAAUGUCCAAAAUGAAAAUUGAAUAGAUCUAACAGAUGACAUAAAACAUAAAACAAAAUAGUCAGUGAAGUUGCAAAUUGAUUAAUGAAAAUAAUCAAUUCUAAAAAAGAAGAAACAGGUUGAAAAAAAUUGACUUGUGAGAUGAGAUCAAGCAAUCUAAAAGUGUGUAACUAAAGUUCCUGAAGGAGAAAAAUAGG